AGUGUAGGCGGUUUUGUAAGAUAGCGGUGAAAUGCCGGGGCUCAACCUCGGAAUUGCCGUUAUAACUAUGAGACUAGAAUGAUAGAGAGGAUGGCGGAAUACCCAGUGUAGAGGUGAAAUUCGUAGAUAUUGGGUAGAACACCGGUGGCGAAGGCGGCUAUCUGGCUAUAAAUUGACGCUGAGGCUCGAAAGCAUGGGGAUCAAACA
RNAcentral lists this ribosomal RNA (207 nucleotides) under uncultured bacterium. RNAcentral's name for it is "partial 16S ribosomal RNA". It matches the Rfam family "Bacterial small subunit ribosomal RNA", at positions 568 to 774 of the family's 1533-position model. The record is from RNAcentral.